GGUGCUGUAGCUCAGGUGGUAGAGCAAUGGACUGAAAAUCCAUGUGUCGCCGGUUCAACUCCUGCCAGCACCA
Non-coding RNA from Bacteroides sp. CAG:1060, 73 nucleotides. The record is from Rfam. Lineage: Bacteria; Pseudomonadati; Bacteroidota; Bacteroidia; Bacteroidales; Bacteroidaceae.